GUGCCUAACACAUGCAAGUCGAACGAGAAAGUGGAGCAAUCCAUGAGUAAAGUGGCGACCGGGUGAGUAACACGUGACUAACCUACCCUCGAGUGGGGAAUAACCUAGGGAAACCUGGGCUAAUACCGCAUAACGUCUUCGGACCAAAGGAGCAAUUCGCUGGAGGAGGGGGUCGCGGCCGAUUAGCUAGUUGGCGGGGUAACGGCCCACCAAGGCAAUGAUCGGUAGCCGGCCUGAGAGGGCGCACGGCCACACUGGAACUGAAACACGGUCCAG
RNAcentral lists this ribosomal RNA (276 nucleotides) under uncultured bacterium. RNAcentral describes it as "partial 16S ribosomal RNA". It matches the Rfam family "Bacterial small subunit ribosomal RNA", at positions 44 to 334 of the family's 1533-position model. The record is from RNAcentral.